Molecule: long non-coding RNA, 541 nt
Filed under: Olea europaea subsp. europaea
Lineage: Eukaryota; Viridiplantae; Streptophyta; Magnoliopsida; Lamiales; Oleaceae
Source: RNAcentral
UAAUAAGAACGUAAAACUGAUACCGAUCAAAAACAAAAAAGAAUGUAAAACUGACCACGCUGGCACAUUAUCUAAGCCCCUUGUCUUCUUCUUUUCCUACUAUUUUCCAGUUUUACAGUAAAAAUUAUAGGGAUUUACUAGAAAUUGUAUAAUUUCUUACCCUACUCCCACAUUUUUAUCUAACUCGCGUCCCUCCCAGAUAUUUUUCCCAUUUUCCUUUCGGGAUUCCAAAAAUUUAUCACGGAAAUUGCAGAGAACCUUCUUGCUAAAUUCCACGCAAUUGUUUCUGUACGUAUAGAUGGAAGAAUAGAACUUCGAUAGAAUUGAGAAAAUUAGUUUUUUUUUCUCCUGCUGUUUUGCAUGGUAAAAUUUGGGUAAGGAUAAGAAGAUUGAAAUGAUGAUGACCGAGACAGAUGAUAAUGGAGGAAUUGUUUCAGAUGGACGAUAUUUGCGAUGACGUAUACCUCGAUCUCGACUCUUUCUGGAAUCUCAUGGCUGGCCCUCCUGAACAGGAUCCUUCAGGACCUUCACAGGUUAGAUG